This 72-nucleotide transfer RNA is filed under the name Bos taurus (domestic cattle). It matches the Rfam family "tRNA". Rfam says of the family: Transfer RNA (tRNA) molecules are approximately 80 nucleotides in length. Their secondary structure includes four short double-helical elements and three loops (D, anti-codon, and T loops). Further hydrogen bonds mediate the characteristic L-shaped molecular structure. tRNAs have two regions of fundamental functional importance: the anti-codon, which is responsible for specific mRNA codon recognition, and the 3' end, to which the tRNAs corresponding amino acid is attached (by aminoacyl-tRNA synthetases). tRNAs cope with the degeneracy of the genetic code in two manners: having more than one tRNA (with a specific anti-codon) for a particular amino acid; and 'wobble' base-pairing, i.e. permitting non-standard base-pairing at the 3rd anti-codon position. RNAcentral also lists the same sequence under 1 other name. Lineage: Eukaryota; Metazoa; Chordata; Mammalia; Artiodactyla; Bovidae. The record is from Rfam by way of RNAcentral.
UUCCUGGUGGUUCAGUGGCUGGGACUCAGCGCUUUCGCAGCUGUAGCCUGGGUUCAAUCCCUGGUCAGGGAA